UACAGAGGGUGCAAGCGUUGUUCGGAAUUAUUGGGCGUAAAGGGUAGGUAGGUGGUCUCAUUUGUCUGGGGUGAAAUCCUUGGGCUUAACUCAAGAAGUGCCCCAGAAACGGUGAGACUAGAGUGCUGGAGAGGGUCGUGGAAUUCCCGGUGUAGCGGUGAAAUGCGUAGAGAUCGGGAGGAACACCAGAGGCGAAGGCGGCGACCUGGACAGCUACUGACACUCAACUACGAAAGCGUGGGGAGCAAACAGG
This 253-nucleotide ribosomal RNA is filed under the name uncultured bacterium. RNAcentral's name for it is "partial 16S ribosomal RNA". It matches the Rfam family "Bacterial small subunit ribosomal RNA", at positions 524 to 776 of the family's 1533-position model. The record is from RNAcentral.